Molecule: transfer RNA, 58 nt
Filed under: Salmo salar (Atlantic salmon)
Lineage: Eukaryota; Metazoa; Chordata; Actinopteri; Salmoniformes; Salmonidae
Rfam family: tRNA
About the family: Transfer RNA (tRNA) molecules are approximately 80 nucleotides in length. Their secondary structure includes four short double-helical elements and three loops (D, anti-codon, and T loops). Further hydrogen bonds mediate the characteristic L-shaped molecular structure. tRNAs have two regions of fundamental functional importance: the anti-codon, which is responsible for specific mRNA codon recognition, and the 3' end, to which the tRNAs corresponding amino acid is attached (by aminoacyl-tRNA synthetases). tRNAs cope with the degeneracy of the genetic code in two manners: having more than one tRNA (with a specific anti-codon) for a particular amino acid; and 'wobble' base-pairing, i.e. permitting non-standard base-pairing at the 3rd anti-codon position.
Source: Rfam by way of RNAcentral
UGGCCUAGUUGGUAGAGCAUGGUGUUUGCAACGCCAGGGUUGUGGGUUUGAUUCCCAC